GAUGAACGCUAGCGGGAGGCUUAACACAUGCAAGUCGAGGGGUAAAUGGUAGCAAUACUAUGAGACCGGCGGACGGGUGCGUAACGCGUAUGCAACAUACCUUGUGCAGGGGGAUAGCCCGUGGAAACGCGGAUUAAUAUUCCAUAGUCCAGCUAUAUCGCAUGGUAUAGUUGGUAAAGAUUUAUCGGCACAAGUUUGGCAUGCGUCUGAUUAGCUUGUUGGUAGGGUAACGGCCUACCAAGGCUACGAUCAGUAGGGGUUCUGAGAGGAUUAACCCCCACACUGGUACUGAGACACGGACCAGGCUCCUACGGGAGGCAGCAGUGAGGAAUAUUGGUCAAUGGGCGGAAGCCUGAACCAGCCAUCCCGCGUGAAGGAAGACAGCCUUACGGGUUGUAAACUUCUUUUCUGUCAGAAGAAUAAGCUUGUCGAGACGAGUGAUGCCGGUAUGACAGGAAUAAGCAUCGGCUAACUCCGUGCCAGCAGCCGAC
RNAcentral lists this ribosomal RNA (491 nucleotides) under uncultured bacterium. RNAcentral describes it as "bacterial SSU rRNA". It matches the Rfam family "Bacterial small subunit ribosomal RNA", at positions 28 to 518 of the family's 1533-position model. The record is from RNAcentral.